Molecule: non-coding RNA, 537 nt
Organism: Propithecus coquereli (Coquerel's sifaka)
Lineage: Eukaryota; Metazoa; Chordata; Mammalia; Primates; Indriidae
Source: the annotation of a RefSeq genome assembly
AUGGGCUCCAGGCUCCUCUGCUGGGUGGCCCUCUUUCUCCUGGGGACAGAUCACACGGGUGCUGGAGUCUCCCAGUCCCCCAGACACAAGGUCACAGAGAGAGGACAGAAUGUAUCUCUCAGAUGUGAUCCAAUUUCUGGUCAUGUAAGCCUUUUCUGGUACCGACAGACUCCAGGGCAGGGCCUGCAGCUUCUGAUUUACUUCCAAGGUGCAGAUGCAACAGACAAAUCAGGGCUGCCUAGUGAUCGGAUCUCUGCAGAGAGGCCUGAGGGAUCGUUCUCCACGCUGAAGAUCCAGCCCGCGGAGCAGGGGGACUCGGCCGUGUAUCUCUGUGCCAGCAGCUUAGCCACAGCGUGGCACAGUCACCUCCUUCCUGCUCACAAACCUCCUCCUUCUCGCUCCUCGCAGCUCCCAGAGACCCUAAACAGAGGCCUCUCUUGCUUGUCACUCACCACGGGAAAGAAGGAGAUUUGGACCUCGACUGUCCUUUGGGUGGAAAGAGACCACAGAGUCUCUCCUGAAACACCGUGCCUGUAA